UGCGCAGGCGGAACAUUAAGUCAGUGGUGAAAGCCUACAGCUCAACUGUAGAAUUGCCAUUGAUACUGAUGUUCUUGAGUUCAGUUGAAGUGGGCGGAAUGUGUUGUGUAGCGGUGAAAUGCUUAGAUAUGACACAGAACUCCGAUCGCGAAGGCAGCUCACUAAGCUGAUACUGACGCUGAGGCACGAAAGCGUGGGGAGCAAACAGGAUUAGAUACCCUGGUAGUCC
RNAcentral lists this ribosomal RNA (229 nucleotides) under uncultured bacterium. RNAcentral's name for it is "partial 16S ribosomal RNA". It matches the Rfam family "Bacterial small subunit ribosomal RNA", at positions 568 to 796 of the family's 1533-position model. The record is from RNAcentral.